Molecule: ribosomal RNA, 476 nt
Filed under: uncultured bacterium
Lineage: Bacteria
Description: bacterial SSU rRNA
Rfam family: Bacterial small subunit ribosomal RNA
Source: RNAcentral
AAUGAAUGCUAUAAUUCGACUUUACACAUGCGAGUCGCACGAGAUGUAUAAUAUUGAAGUGGCGAACGGGUGAAUAAUGUAGUUGAAUGUUAUCUAAUAAUACGGGACAUGCAUAUUGAUAUGAGGAAUACCGAAUAAAAAGUUUAUAGGUUUACUAUAAAUACAUAAAGAUUAAUCGUUAUUAGAAACGCAACUAUCGGAUUAAGUUGAAAUGAUGGUGAGGUAAUGGCUCACCAAAUUUAUGAUCUGUAGCUGGUUUGGGAGAACGUACAGCCACAUCGGAACUGAGAUAAGGUACGAUCCCCAGCGUUGGGGGCAGCAGUGAGGAAUCUUGGGCAAUGGGCGGAAGCUUGACCCAGAAAGAAUUUGUGCGUGAUGAAGGCAUAUAUGUUUGUAAAGCGCAACAAGUUUUAUAGAAUAAUGAUUACUAAGAAAUAAAGCACUGACUAAGUUCGUGCCAGCCGCCGCGGUAAAAC